This 496-nucleotide ribosomal RNA is filed under the name uncultured bacterium. RNAcentral's name for it is "partial 16S ribosomal RNA". It matches the Rfam family "Bacterial small subunit ribosomal RNA", at positions 30 to 523 of the family's 1533-position model. The record is from RNAcentral.
AUUGAACGCUGGCGGAAUGCUUUACACAUGCAAGUCGAACGGUAGAGGGGGCAACCCCUCGAGAGUGGCGAACGGGUGAGUAAUAUAUCGGAACGUGCCCAGUCGUGGGGGAUAACGUAGCGAAAGUUACGCUAAUACCGCAUACGAUCGAAGGAUGAAAGCGGGGGAUCGCAAGACCUCGCGCGAUUGGAGCGGCCGAUAUCGGAUUAGGUAGUUGGUGGGGUAAAGGCUCACCAAGCCAACGAUCUGUAGCUGGUCUGAGAGGACGACCAGCCACACUGGAACUGAGACACGGUCCAGACUCCUACGGGAGGCAGCAGUGGGGAAUUUUGGACAAUGGACGCAAGUCUGAUCCAGCCAUUCCGCGUGCAGGAUGAAGGCCCUCGGGUUGUAAACUGCUUUUGUACGGAACGAAAAGGUCUCUCUUAAUACGGGGGACUCAUGACGGUACCGUAAGAAUAAGCACCGGCUAACUACGUGCCAGCCGCCGCGGUAA